Molecule: long non-coding RNA, 484 nt
Filed under: Anser brachyrhynchus (Pink-footed goose)
Lineage: Eukaryota; Metazoa; Chordata; Aves; Anseriformes; Anatidae
Description: lncRNA (ENSABRG00000018885.1)
Source: RNAcentral
AAAUUACAAAACACAUAUUAUAUAUAGAUAUAUAUAAAUCUAAUUUAUUUAUUUAUUUAUUUUUAUAGGAACGUAAUAUUGCACAUCCUAGAAGUUAAACAGUUAAUGAGAACUUGCAAAAAUUUGACCUGUUGCAAUGUGCCGUUACUAAACUCUGAAUGGAAGGUUGGACUUAGACCUGAACCACCAGGAGGAUAACCCAAUACUCUGAAGUUUGUUUGUUGUCCAGACCGCUUCUGUGUAGUGAAACCAAGUUCGGAAGUGCCAAAAAUUUGAAUAUUUCUACGUAGUUUUGGAGACAAUCCUGCCCUGAAAGCCAUCACAUUCAGAGUUUUUCAAGAAUGUUUCUUUAUUUUCUUCAUUAUCUACAAGAUAUUUUGGGAAAAGGAAAAGCUUGCUUUCUAUCAGCUGUAGAGGAAGUUGAACCUGUCCUCAUCUCCUUUAGGUGAGUCAAUAAUAAAUUAUUGCACAGAAGUGAGGAACA